AUUGGUCUUAUUUAUGUGUCUAUAUACUAUAUAUUAUAUAGUAUAGGUAUUAACUAACGUAAAUUGACUAAAAUUUAACUUAUUAGGUAAUCAAUGUCUUAUUGUUACAGCCUAACACAUAUUUAAAUCAAUAAAAUAUGUUUUCAAUAUUUCCUUAACAUUUGUUCUUUGAAAAUCAACUGUAUAGUUGAACAAUUAUUUAUUUGAAAAAAAAAACAUUUUAAUUUCCUGACAAAACGAAAUUAACUUUUUAAAUGUUUUAGAAUAUAUGAACACAAAUUAAACAACAAACGAAAAUGGCGAAGGUAUGUAAUGUAAUUGUUGCCCGUUACAGAUGAUGAUCACAAUACAAGUUAUUACAAUAUAAACCUAAAGAAAUACGUUCAAAUAAUUCUUCUUUGACAGUUGCCAUUUGUGAUCCAAAUAGGACAUACAUACGUUGUUCCGUGUAAUUUAAUUAAUUUUUGUGAACAUAAUUAAAUUACUAUUUUGUGCAUUUCUAUAAGUGUAUAUUUAUUUUUUAUAAAAACGUAAAAUACAACUACCUAAUUAUUGUUUUAUUAAACAAAUUUUAAAUUUUUGUAACCAUUCAUUUUUAUAAAGUAUAGCGAAGUACACAAUAUUAUAUUUAUUAUACAUUUAUUAGAAGAAGAUAAACUUCACUACAAUAUUUAUAGAAUAAAAUGAAUACCUCUAAAUUCCCAAUGAAGACUAUUCUAGUAUUUGCAGUAUACUUAAUCAAAUAUUCUCUGGAACUAGAUUAUUCAAAAAUACAGGGGUUUAAUACUAACAUGGAAGAAGCUACACAAUUCCUUCGUGAAUGGGAAAAUGAAGCAGUAGCCUUGUGCAAUAGAGUGGCGAUGGCACAGUGGACAUAUGCAACAAAUAUAACGGAAUACAAUAAAAAACAAAUGAUAGAUGAACAAAAAUUGAACUCCAAGUUCAAUAGAGUAUCUUGGAGGAAAGCUUCUGAUUUCAUGUGGACUCGUAUAUCUGAUCCUAUUAUACAAAGACAACUCAAGAUUUUGGCACUGAAAGGCCAAUCGAAUGUACCCGAUUCAAAACUAAAUCAGAUGCAUUCGAUUUUAAAUGAAAUGAAAGAUAUUUAUGCUAAAGCGAAAAUAUGUCCAUUCAAUUAUAGAUUGACAUCGUAUUGUGAACUAAGUCUUGAACCAGAUUUAGUAAGAGUAAUGGCUAACUCAAGAGAUUUUGAAGAGUUAUUGUAUACAUGGCGUUCAUGGAGAGAUAAUAUUGGACAUGAAAUUCGACCCAAAUACAUAAAAUAUAUGGAAUUGGUUAACGAAGCUGCAAUGGCAAUAGGGUUUGAAGACGCGGGUCAACAACAAAUUGCCAUGUAUGAAGAUGCAAAUUUUAAAGCAAAACUUGAAAAUUUAUGGACAGCUAUAGAGCCAAUUUAUAAACAUCUCCACUCUUACGUUCGGCGAAAAUUAGUUUCUCACUAUGGUACACGCAGGGUCCGAGUCGAUGGACCAAUUCCAGCGCAUUUACUAGGUAACAUGUGGGCACAGAACUGGAAAAACAUAAUAGACUUAGUGAUUCCAUUUCCGAAGAAAAGACGUAUUGAUGUUUCCGGUGAAAUGUUACGUCAAGGAUACACGCCUUUAAAGAUGUUCCAAAUAUCUGAAGAAUUUUUCACAUCACUUGGAUUAAAAGCGAUGCCAGUGGAAUUUUGGCAUAAUUCAAUACUGGAAAAGCCAACAAACAGGCCAGUGUCAUGCAAAGCAUCUGCUUGGGAUUUUUGUGAUAAAUAUGAUUACAGAAUAAAACAAUGCACUGAAGUUUCAAUGGAUGAUCUAUUUUCGACACAUCACGAAAUGGCUCAUAUUCAAUAUUAUCUCCAUUAUACAGAUCAGCCAUUGCUGUUUAAAGAAGGAGCGAAUCCCGGUUUUCAUGAAGCUUUGAGUGAUGCAGUUAUUCUUUCUAUUUCCACACCACGACAUUUACAUAGGAUUGGACUAUUGAAUAACAUAACCGACGAUUAUGAAGGUCAAAUAGACUUCUUAAUGGAAAUGGCUUUAGACAAAAUUGCUUAUCUACCUUUUGCAUAUUCAGUUGAUUUAUGGCGAUGGAGCGUUUUUUCCAAAGGCGUACACAACUUAAAUGCUCGAUGGUGGGAUUUAAAAUUAUUGUAUCAAGGAAUCAUUCCACCGAUUGCCAGGGAUGAAAACGAUUUCGAUCCAAGUUCUAAGUAUCAUGUGAUCGCUGAUACUCCUUAUAUAAAAUACUUCAUCAGCAUCAUUCUACAGUUUCAAAUUCAUGAAGCCUUGUGUACAGCAGCAGGACAUAAUGGUCCAUUACAUACUUGUGACAUAUACCGUUCAAGAGAAGCUGGUCGAAUAUUGAGUGAAAUGAUGUCAAUGGGCUAUUCAAAACCGUGGCCACAAGUUAUUAAAAUCCUUACUGGAGGAAAAACGAGUGAAAUAGAUCCACGUCCUUUGAUUGAAUAUUUUAAACCACUCACACACUGGCUAAUUAAUGAAAAUAAAGCAGAACGAAUAGGAUGGUCUAGAUUAAAUGAAGACAUAGCACUGUUUGAGCCCUUAUCGAAGGCUAAUAAUUGCUAUUCAGUCAACAAAUACUUAAUUAUAUUUGUUGUUUUUAACUUAUUAAAAAAUGUGUACCAUUAAUUUUACAUGUUUAAUAAUACUUAAACACUUUUUAAUUUUAAUUUUUAAUGUAGUUUUAACCCAAUUUGUUCCGUAUUAUUAAUGUUAUAUAUUGUAACUCAUCGGUAAAAUAUUUAUGUAAAAUAGGUACAUUAAAACGUUUUGAUUUACCUACUUCUAUUAUAUAAUUUAUCCAUUUACUUAAUUUAAAAUAAAAUGAAGGAUGUAUGAUUUAAAAACACGUUUUAUUUAAGUGCUUGUAAUAUUAAUGACUACAAAGUACAAACACCACAAUAUGUUGUAGAACUAUCAAUAAUUAAUAUUAUAACCAUAAGUCAUAAACCUAUAAAUAAAAAAUACUGCAGGCGAAUAAACCUAACCACACAUAAGGGGUCCGAUUGACAUGAAAUAUGGUACACACUAUACAGACAUUCAAUACCACCAGGAAUCCAGGUCAUAAUAUCCUGCACUGAAAUAUCCAAGUCGAAGUUAAAACACCAAAUUGUUGAAAAAAUCAAAUUAGAAAAAAAUAUGGAAAAUAUGGAAAAUACCCAUUUUAAAAACAAAAUACCUAAUAAUAAUUAGA
Molecule: RNA transcript, 3213 nt
Organism: Metopolophium dirhodum (rose-grain aphid)
Lineage: Eukaryota; Metazoa; Arthropoda; Insecta; Hemiptera; Aphididae
Gene name: angiotensin-converting enzyme-like
Exons: 16
Source: RefSeq, a predicted model, not a curated record